RNAcentral lists this long non-coding RNA (4467 nucleotides) under Sus scrofa (pig). RNAcentral describes it as "lncRNA (ENSSSCG00060007456.1)". Lineage: Eukaryota; Metazoa; Chordata; Mammalia; Artiodactyla; Suidae. The record is from RNAcentral.
CUGAGAGGGAAAGAAUGCCUUUUAAUUUUUUGGUAAUGAGUUGAUAACAGGAAAAGGAAAGUUAAGACAUCUAUCAAUUUCUCUGUAUCUCCAGAAUGGAAUCCUCUUUUCAUAGAGUAAGUGAGGAAAAUUGUGAGUGGGCCAAGUUAGAGAAGAACCUUGAUUACCAGAGUAUAGACAACUUUGAUGGCCUCAAUAAGGGUAUCUGGACUCUUUCCUAAAAAGAAUGGUGCAUUUUGAAAGGGAUUGAUACAAUAAAGUCAGUGUUCAGGUGUUUGCACCUUGUAUUGUUGAGGAUGAAUUAGAGGAGAGAGAGUAUGGAGGAUUAUAGUAAGCCUUGGAAAAAGAGUAGUAAUAUGAUUAGAAGGAAAUUCAGUGAUGGAUGGAAUACUCUUAUUACCUACUCUGUCAAAAGCACAGGGUGAAUAAGGCUCAUAAGGUCCCUAUCAUCAUGGAACUUCUUUCUAGGAAGAUAAAUAAAUGCUAAACCAACCAACAAAAAUAAUUCAAAUAAGCAAGUAAGGCUUUCAGAUGCUGAUACAUGCUCCAAAGAAAAUAAAACAAGAUGAUGGAAACCAAGGUGACAAAGGGGUGAGUAAGGCUUUCUACUUUCUAUUGGUCAUCAAAGAUCUUUCUGAGAAGAUAACCUUGGAGCUGUAAGCUGCCUUCCUCCCUUCCCAUCAUGUAUGCACUCCUAUGCACAAAUCCAAGCCCAUUAGCAUCCUCUACCAGAACACUUAGCACACUAAGUUGUGAAGAUGCAUCAGCUUGUGUAUAUACUCCGUCGUCGUCGUGCUAUUAUGACAGUGAGGGUUUGUCUUAUCUUUAUAACACUAGCAGUUAGCACAGUACUUGGCCCAUUACAGAUAUCUAGUAAAGGUUUGGUGAGUGAAUAAAUGAGUAAAUCAAAUCACCAAGAUUGGGUGACUGGGUAAAGGACAGAUCUUAGGAAAACUGCAGUAGUUGGAGAUGGGAACAGAAAGAAGUGGGGCCAGGAAGGGGAGUUGGAUGCUUAUCUUGUGACAUCCCUGCCUAGUUAGCACAUUAUUCUCUGCACAUCAUUUUCUUUAUUUGUCUAGAGCUAUAGUUUUCAGUAUGAUAGCCACUAGUUACAUGUUGGCUAUUGAACAUUUGAAAUAUGAUGAGUCCUAGUUGAGAUAUGCUGUAAGCAUAAAACAUACCAGAUUGCAAAGACUUAGCUUAGAUAUAUUUUUUCUCAUCAUCUUGUGGUAACUGUGUUAAAAGAUACUUUAGGUAUCUUGGAUUAGAUAAAUAUAUUUAAGUUAAUGUCACUGUUUAUUUUUACUUUUUAAAUGUGGUUACUAGAAAAUUUAAAGUUCAGAGUUGGCUCACUUUAUAUUCCUAUUGUGUAUAUAUCCUAUACUAGAUAGAUGAGUUUGAAUUAGUUGGUCAGUUCUGAAGUGAGUGGUAGAAAGAAGUGAUGGUUGUUAUUUUAUUUCCUUCUCAACAGUAUAAAAAUCCCAACAGAUGUUAAAAAAUGAGGACCAGACAUAAGGGGUGUCACAUCGAUUUUACAGCCAAGGAGAUAAGACCCAGUGUAAAACAUAUUUGGGAAACACAGGUUAAACUUUAAAAUUCAUCGGUAAAUCCUCUUUCCUUUAUUGGGAAAUAAUAGCUUUAGGUUUUGGGGGGAAACCCUCAUAAUGUUUAUACUAAAAAGUCCCUUUUCUAAUUUCAUUUGUUUUAUUCCGGGCUCUUUGAUAGUUCUGCCAGAUGAUAACUGUAUGACUUAAAUGUGUAUGUUUAAAUCAUGGUAAAUCAUGGAAUACAAUCCCAGAGACAAAGUCAGUGAUGCUCCAGUAGCUCAUCUUGUCCUCACCUCGCGUAAGUGAUAGCGAUAUAAAGAUGCCUGAAAAGAAGAGCAGAUGUUAGACAUGCUACUUUUAUCCUUCCAGUAACAUUUUUAAGAUUGAGCUCACAGCGCCUGGAUGUUAAAAUUCUUUCGCAGAUCCCAGAUUAGGAAUGCUCCAUGUUGCUUUAAUCCAUUCCAUUGCAAUGGCUUUAUUAGAUGAAACACCCUGCUGAACAUCUGACGAACAGUGGGAUUAUCACAUUUCCCUCUGAAAAUCCAGUAAAGACAAAAUAAAUGGUUAACAAAACAGAGCAAAUUCAGUUUGCAGGUGUUCAUAGGCAAUGCAACCUCUGAUUGAAUGAGUGUCUCUAUGUAUUCCUCCUCUCUUGUGAAAUGCCUUUUUAAAAGGCCAGAGAAAUUCCUGAGGAAAAAGAAACCAUAGGGCAAAAGUCGCUUCCCUCUCCUUUUGAUGGGUUGCUAAUUGCAUUGUGUUGACUACAGAGCCGGUUCGGAAAUCUGGAAACUUUGUUUUGUUAAGCUUUACUUUGACUACACCCUGGGUAUGCCAAUAACAAUUCUUUAUCAUGUGCAACUCCUAGAGUGUUGACACUUAACGAUUGACUUUUUUUUUCUUGGCAAAUCUAAUUAACUAUUGGAAGAAUUUCAUCAAGCGGCACCCAGUUCCUCUAAACACUUGGUGGGUGGCUCUUGGAGAUGCUCUUCAAAACUCGGUUACUUCCCAGCACUCUAAAAAUUCUCGUUUGCCAGAGCAAUUUGAAUUUUGUUAUUAGUGUCUGCUGGAAAUCAUAAUUCAAUAAAGACGAACUCAUUUAGAAAUGUUUCAUACUGGGCAUGCAUUAGGUAGCUCAGAUAACUCAGGAGCUGCAGAAAACCAUACAAGUGUUCAGGUACAUGCAGGAAAUGGGAGGGGUAGUGAACAAUUUGAAGGAGGCUUUUUGUAUUUUUUUAAGGAGCUGCAGCUAGAUUAGGGAUGCAUAUGUGUCUGUGUGUGUCUGUGUGUGUGUGCAGUCACACAUUUAAGUCAGUGGACACAGCAGUCUUUGCUUUUGGCUAGCAUUUCCUACCAAUCCCCAAAUGCAAGCUGGUGGAUAUAAAAAAAGCCUCUAUCAACAUUUACAAAUAAUAAUGAACAAGGGCCCCUGCGUGUUUCUUUGUGCCAUGCUUGUGUGGCCCCCGCUUCUCCCCUUGAAUGAGACUGUAUCUGUCUCCUGUCCUCUUCUCUCUCUCUCUCUUUCUCUUGUUCCUUUUAUGGAUGUGGGAUUAUUGCUAUAGAAAAUAUGGUCAUGCCAUAGGGAAAUGGACCUCCUGCUCAGCGUGUUUUUUUUCAACCACAUCUGCAGACUGCAGCUACCUUAGCCUUUGCGGGGAAAAAAAAAAAAAAAUCAGGGUCCUUAGGAAACUGUAAUUCUUGGAACAAUGACUUCUUCCUCACAGGACACUGUACUUUCUCACUGCUAUUUAGCACAGUCUGCUAUUAGUCUUCCCUGCCGUUUAUUUGCUGCCCAAGUUCACCAUUGGACAUAUGUAGGAAUAUUUAAACAACAUUGUUUUCCCCAGAGAAGUCUGUUUCAUCUUUGGAACUGCGGGGCUUCCUGCCGACUUCACAGGACCACUCAUACACCUCCCUCCUUUUCCCUGUGUGCUGCUGCUCUGUGCCCCCCCCCCCCGCCCCCGCGACAGGUCCCUUUUCUUUAUGAUGAGGUCUCUCACACUGUUUUUAUUUGCCUCCCAAACUGGAUUCAGAAAAUACCACCCUUUGCCCACUUCCCCGCUUCCUGUCUAUAUUCCAAACCUCUUCAUCUUUGGCAAAAUUUCAGCAGAGUUGAACUUCCAAUUUCUCCUCCUUUUUUUCUUCUUUCUUUCUUUUUUUUAAACUAUUUGAGUACAUACUGUCCUUUCAUGAGUGGUAAUGCUCUCAAAUGUGAUGCCUGGAGAGAUGAGGGAGCCAUUUGUCUAAAAUUUGGAAAAAAUAAAAAUACAUGUAUUCUAUUUUGGUACCUUUCCAUCAUUGGUCCUCUAAACAUUAUUAGAUACUUGAAACAUAAGGAGGGCGUUCCAUCUUGAUUUGAUAAAUGGAAGUCUGAAGAUAAAGGAUUAACCAUAAUCUAGCUGUCUUUAUCAUUUAGGGAGAGAAAAUUUUGUUUCUUGAACUUCUUCAUGUAUCAGAAGAAAUCAAGCUUGAUGUGGUUUUGUAGCUCAAUUUGACCAAGGUUUUUUUUAAAAAAUGGAUAUCUUCGGGGACUAGCAAGUUCUUUCUCCUUUAAAUUUAAAGGCAAGUAAAACCAAACUGUUGAUUGUCCUUAAUGAUCGUAAGGUAUUUCUUGUAAGGGCUUUCAAAAUAAGGAUUAAACUGAGAAAGAAAUCUGAAGUCAUUACUUUCUGAUUAGUACAGAUGUUCAUGCUAACAUUCAAGAUUCUUGUCAGUUAAUAUUUUUAUGGGGAAUUUCUGGUGCCUUUUCUUUUUAAGAAUAAUGUAGAGAAAGCAGUUGGCAUGUUGACAUUAAGUUGUAUUGGGGAAAGUGGGUCCCUACUCUCCACAUCUGUUCAGUGUUUCUGUUGCCUUUCAUUUUCUAAAGUGUUACAUAUGGAAUACACAUGUCUUUGUGUUCUGGUACCCCAGGAAAAAAAAAAAA